AUUUUUGUGUAAUCUGCAGUUGUCGUCUCAAGGAGCAGGGCACGACGAAAUUGAUUUCGAGUUUCUGGGAAAUUCAUCAGGCCAGCCUUACACUGUUCAUACCAACGUUUAUUCUCAGGGAAAAGGCAACAAAGAACAACAGUUUCACCUCUGGUUCGAUCCUACCAUAUCGUGCCACACCUACUCUAUUAUUUGGAACUCUCGACGCAUCAUGUACGUUAAAAAAUGAACUUCCUUCUUAAUCUAGUACAUAUACAAAACAUCAUGUCUGACAUUUUGGGGAUUAAUUGUCCAGAUUUUUGGUGGAUAACAUACCAAUAAGAGUGUACAACAACCACGAAGCACUUGGGGUUGCAUUUCCAAAGAAUCAAGCAAUGAGAGUGUACGCGAGCCUAUGGAAUCACCUCUGGUUCGAUCCUACCAUAUCGUGCCACACCUACUCUAUUAUUUGGAACUCUCGACGCAUCAUGUACGUUAAAAAAUGAACUUCCUUCUUAAUCUAGUACAUAUACAAAACAUCAUGUCUGACAUUUUGGGGAUUAAUUGUCCAGAUUUUUGGUGGAUAACAUACCAAUAAGAGUGUACAACAACCACGAAGCACUUGGGGUUACAUUUCCAAAGAAUCAGGCAAUGAGAGUGUACGCGAGCCUAUGGAAUGCUGAUGACUGGGCAAC
This 674-nucleotide long non-coding RNA is filed under the name Nicotiana benthamiana. RNAcentral's name for it is "long non-coding RNA (NBEN_LNC010170)". Lineage: Eukaryota; Viridiplantae; Streptophyta; Magnoliopsida; Solanales; Solanaceae. The record is from RNAcentral.